Molecule: ribosomal RNA, 794 nt
Filed under: uncultured bacterium
Lineage: Bacteria
Description: bacterial SSU rRNA
Rfam family: Bacterial small subunit ribosomal RNA
Source: RNAcentral
AGAGUUUGAUCCUGGCUCAGGAUGAACGCUAGCGGCAGGCCUAAUACAUGCAAGACGAACGGUAAUUUGAGUAGCAAUACUUGAACUAGAGUGUCGUAAGGGUGCGUAACACGUAUGCAAUCUGCCCAAAACAGGGGCAUAGCUCGCCGAAAGGCGGAUUAACUCCCCAUAAUAUCAUUGGCUGGCAUCAGUUGGUGAUUAAAAUCGCAAGAUGGUUUUGGAUGAGCAUGCGGAUGAUUAGCUAGUUGGUAGUGUAACGGACUACCAAGGCAAUGAUCAAUAGGGGAACUGAGAGGUUGAUCCCCCACACUGGCACUGAGAUACGGGCCAGACUCCUACGGGAGGCAGCAGUAGGGAAUAUUGGACAAUGGGUGCAAGCCUGAUCCAGCCAUGCCGCGUGCAGGAAGAAGGCUUUCUGAGUUGUAAACUGCUUUUGCCAGGGGAUAAAAAGUCCCUGCGGGGAAAAUUGAAGGUACCUGGUGAAUAAGCCACGGCUAACUACGUGCCAGCAGCCGCGGUAAUACGUAGGUGGCAAGCGUUGUCCGGAUUUAUUGGGUUUAAAGGGUGCGUAGGCGGUUAAUUAAGUCAGUGGUGAAAUACUUCAGCUCAACUGGAGAGGUGCCAUUGAUACUGGUUGACUUGAGUACUGAUGAGGUAGGCGGAAUGGACGGUGUAGCGGUGAAAUGCUUAGAUAUCGUCCAGAACACCGAUAGCGAAGGCAGCUUACUAAGGAGUAACUGACGCUGAGGCACGAAAGUGUGGGGAUCAAACAGGAUUAGAUACCCUAGUAGUCC